GACGGAGGGUGCUAGCGUUGUUCGGAAUGACUGGGCGUAAAGGGCGCGUAGGCGGCUCGUGAAGUCGGGUGUGAAAGCCCCGGGCUCAACCCGGGAAGUGCACCCGAAACUGCAUGGCUCGAGUACCGGAGAGGUUGGUGGAAUUCUCGGUGUAGAGGUGAAAUUCGUAGAUAUCGAGAGGAACACCGGUGGCGAAGGCGGCCAACUGGACGAGUACUGACGCUGAGACACGAAAGCGUGGGGAGCAAACAGG
This 253-nucleotide ribosomal RNA is filed under the name uncultured bacterium. RNAcentral describes it as "partial 16S ribosomal RNA". It matches the Rfam family "Bacterial small subunit ribosomal RNA", at positions 524 to 776 of the family's 1533-position model. The record is from RNAcentral.